Molecule: ribosomal RNA, 468 nt
Filed under: uncultured bacterium
Lineage: Bacteria
Description: partial 16S ribosomal RNA
Rfam family: Bacterial small subunit ribosomal RNA
Source: RNAcentral
GACGAACGCUGGCGGCGUGCUUAACACAUGCAAGUCGAACGGAAAGGCCCUGCUUUUGUGGGUUGCUCGAGUGGCGAACGGGUGAGUAACAAGUGAGUAACCUGCCCUUGACUUUGGGAUAACUUCAGGAAACUGGGGCUAAUACCGGCUAGGAGCUCCUGCUGCAUGGUGGGGGUUGGAAAGUUUCGGCGGUUGGGGAUGGACUCGCGGCUUAUCAGCUGGUUGGUGGGGUAGUGGCUUACCAAGGCUUUGACGGGUAGCCGGCCUGAGAGGGUGACCGGCCACCUUGGGACUGCGAUACGGACCAGACUCCUACGGGAGGCAGCAGUGGGGAAUAUUGCACAAUGGGGGGACGCCUGAGGCAGAAACGCCGCGUGCGGGAUGCCGGCCUUCGGGGUGUAAACCGCUUUCGACUGUGACGAAGCGUGAGUGACGGUAAUGGGUAAAGAAGCACCGGCUAACUACGUG